RNAcentral lists this unclassified non-coding RNA (1669 nucleotides) under Hevea brasiliensis (rubber tree). Lineage: Eukaryota; Viridiplantae; Streptophyta; Magnoliopsida; Malpighiales; Euphorbiaceae. The record is from RNAcentral.
UCUCAUUUCAUUAUGACCCAAGAAUGCUAUGCAAUUGGCAUGGCAUGGCAUUGUCCAUCCGACAGUUUCAACCCACAUGAGCCCAAACUAGUAUACCUUUGGACCUACAUGUGUGAGACUUAGGGGCUCAUAGCUUUCCCAACCCCAAAGAUACAGACCCACAUAUCGAAGGAUGAAAAGACCAUUAGAUUAAUAGUUUAGUAGUGCUAAAUAAAGAAGGUAAUCAGAGGAAAGAAACGGAGAGGCAAGGAAAAAGCACAAAGAAAGGGCAACGUAGGUCAGAGGUCUCAACCAAAUUCCACAUCAACAUCAUCACUUUCGUAUCUCAAGACUAAAGCGUGAAUACUGUUGUAGACCAGCAAAAAGAUAAAAGGACUCGGGACAAGGAAAUCAAAGCAAACUACCGAGUUAAAAAUAAAUAAAUAGAUAAAUAAAUACUGAUUAAUCCACCACUCGAUGGUGGUUUAGCUCUAAUUAACUAAUAAAAUUUCCUAAGACGACACUCUAUAGUAUCUAUUUUUCAGCUUUUACAUAUUAAAUUUUUGUACAAUUUAGCUGAACCAAUCAAAUAAAAAUGAGGUCGCUCUAUUUCAUAGACAAGACUCCUAAUUAGAGUUUGAGUCUUCCAAAAAGGUGGACGAAAGUUGAUCAUUUUCACAUAAUAAAACAACCAUUAGGAUUUUCAUCACUAAACAUUUGAGGCGCGUUCAGGUAUGUUGGUGGAGGAGGUGGUGGCACAUACUGAGGCUGGUGGCCAUACUCGACUACGUAGCCCGUAUGAGCAUAACCAUGAUUGUACAUUGUCGCGCCAUAGUCUUGAUUCAUAUAACUCUGAUGUUGCAUAGGCAUCGCGUAAAAUGUAUUUGCAUUAUAACCAUAGUAUUCCAUUUUGUUGACCACCUCACUCCCUCCUCCUCCACCACCACCACUAGCCACCUUUGAUUCACCGUCUUUUUUUCUCCGUAUCGCCUUUUUCUUUCUUGUCACCGCCUUUGCCGCCACCGCCGCUCUCUUUCUCCUUCUUGUCAUUGUCACCUUCCUUGGCUUUCUUUUCACCACCUUCAUUGUCUUUCUUAGAUGGAACCACUUCAACAUUUUGCUUCAAUUUAUCAAUCAAAUAAGGAGUUAACUUCUUUAUAUCCAUUGACCCCUUUACCGUGGCCAAAUCUUUUUCUGAUUCUAUAUUCACUUCUUGUACCCCUUUAAUCUUUUUAAUAACUCGUUUGAUUUUAUGUGCACAUCCAUCACAAUGCACCCGAAUCUUUAAUGCCACCACACUGAUUACUUGAGCCUCUUUGGGUUUCUUCUCGUCUUCCUUCUUGUCCUCUGUUUUUUCACCGGACUUUUUAUCUCCGCCGCUCUUUUUAUCUCCGGCGUCCUUUUUGGGCGGCGAUGAUAUAAGCUCCACCUUCUUUUUGGUUUUGAUCUCCACUCUCUCCCGGAGCCAUGAAGGGUCAACGUCACCUUUAACCGUCAGUUUUCCAGUUUCACAAUCCGAUUUCACUUUUUCCACACCAUGAGUAUGGCGAAUGAAUCGUCUGAGUUUUUGUGCACAACCUUCACAAUGCAAAUCCAGUUUUAAAACAAUUGAACUUUCGUUCUUCUUCUCUGCUCCUUCAACUUUGAUUUUUUCACCCAUUGGUUGAGAAUAAUUAAUAUUAGUAUAAAG